UGAUAAUAUUGUUUUGCUAUUUUUGGUCAAUAAUGCAAUGACAUGUAGAAAAAUUAUUAUGCAUGUCAUUGCACUAUUGAUCGAGAAUAGCAAACAAAUUUAUUC
This 105-nucleotide microRNA precursor is filed under the name Prunus persica (peach). Its description in RNAcentral is "MIR6274 microRNA precursor family". It matches the Rfam family "MIR6274 microRNA precursor family". The record is from Rfam by way of RNAcentral. Lineage: Eukaryota; Viridiplantae; Streptophyta; Magnoliopsida; Rosales; Rosaceae.